GCAUUGGUGGUUCAGUGGUAGACUUCUCACAUUCCAUGUAGGAGAUCUGGGUUCCAUUCCCGGCCAACGCA
Molecule: transfer RNA, 71 nt
Filed under: Loxodonta africana (African savanna elephant)
Lineage: Eukaryota; Metazoa; Chordata; Mammalia; Proboscidea; Elephantidae
Rfam family: tRNA
About the family: Transfer RNA (tRNA) molecules are approximately 80 nucleotides in length. Their secondary structure includes four short double-helical elements and three loops (D, anti-codon, and T loops). Further hydrogen bonds mediate the characteristic L-shaped molecular structure. tRNAs have two regions of fundamental functional importance: the anti-codon, which is responsible for specific mRNA codon recognition, and the 3' end, to which the tRNAs corresponding amino acid is attached (by aminoacyl-tRNA synthetases). tRNAs cope with the degeneracy of the genetic code in two manners: having more than one tRNA (with a specific anti-codon) for a particular amino acid; and 'wobble' base-pairing, i.e. permitting non-standard base-pairing at the 3rd anti-codon position.
Source: Rfam by way of RNAcentral